RNAcentral lists this ribosomal RNA (92 nucleotides) under Siganus spinus (little spinefoot). RNAcentral's name for it is "partial 5.8S rRNA". It matches the Rfam family "5.8S ribosomal RNA", at positions 1 to 92 of the family's 154-position model. Rfam says of the family: 5.8S ribosomal RNA (5.8S rRNA) is a component of the large subunit of the eukaryotic ribosome. It is transcribed by RNA polymerase I as part of the 45S precursor that also contains 18S and 28S rRNA. Lineage: Eukaryota; Metazoa; Chordata; Actinopteri; Siganidae. The record is from RNAcentral.
CAACUCUUAGCGGUGGAUCACUUGGCUCGUGCGUCGAUGAAGAACGCAGCUAGCUGCGAGAAUUAAUGUGAAUUGCAGGACACAUUAAUCAU